RNAcentral lists this transfer RNA (72 nucleotides) under Camelus bactrianus (Bactrian camel). It matches the Rfam family "tRNA". From Rfam's summary of the family: Transfer RNA (tRNA) molecules are approximately 80 nucleotides in length. Their secondary structure includes four short double-helical elements and three loops (D, anti-codon, and T loops). RNAcentral also lists the same sequence under 1 other name. Lineage: Eukaryota; Metazoa; Chordata; Mammalia; Artiodactyla; Camelidae. The record is from Rfam by way of RNAcentral.
GAAUGUACAGCUCAGUGGUAGAGCACGCGCUUAGCAUGCAUGAGGUCCUGGGUUCGAUCCCCAGUACCUCCA